UGGUUCUGGCAUCGAUGAAGAACGCAGCGAAAUGCGAUAAGUAAUGUGAAUUGCAGAAUUCAGUGAAUCAUCGAAUCUUUGAACGCACAUUGCGCCCGCCAGCAUUCUGGCGGGCAUGCCUGUUCGAGCGUCAUUUCAACCCUCGAGCCCCCCUUCCCUCUCGGGGAGGGCGGGCCCGGUGUUGGGGAUCGGCCCUCCCUGCCCUCGCGGCUUGGGCGGCCGUCCCCGAAAUCCAGUGGCGGUCACGCCGCGGGCUCCUCUGCGUAGUAGCAACACCUCGCACUUGGGACCCGGCGCGGCCACGCCGUAAAUCAGACGAAUUUUCUGAAGGUUGACCUCGGAUCAGGUAGGAAUACCCGCUGA
RNAcentral lists this unclassified non-coding RNA (363 nucleotides) under uncultured fungus. Its description in RNAcentral is "partial contains 5.8S ribosomal RNA and internal transcribed spacer 2". The stretch from base 1 to 133 matches the Rfam family "5.8S ribosomal RNA", at positions 22 to 154 of the family's 154-position model. The record is from RNAcentral. Lineage: Eukaryota; Fungi.